Long non-coding RNA from Mya arenaria, 1538 nucleotides. RefSeq lists it as uncharacterized. The transcript is spliced from 3 exons. The record is from RefSeq and is a predicted model, not a curated record. NCBI's taxonomy places the organism in Eukaryota, Metazoa, Mollusca, Bivalvia, Myida, Myidae.
UUAAAUAACUCUUUUAGAGAAAAAAUAUCAUAAAUGCACAGUUGUUGAGAAAACUUCUCUUUUUUAUUUAAAUAUUUUUACAUAAAAGAAUAAACCACGAAUGCGCAGAAUGUAUCUUACAAUAAUCUUAGAAAAUCGGUGAACCAGUCUUUUAUCUGAUUACCGGGUCAGAUGCAAGCGUCCAGUAGACUAGGGAUAUCGAGGUCAACACGCUGGCGGUUGGGGAAAGGUAUUUUCAUUUUCUUUUUACGUAGUGAACUGAAAAACUAUUGUUAUUUUAUAUUUAUCAUUUUAAAAGCAGGUUUCGUGUCUUUCGAUUUAAACAGUAGCACGUUUUUUUGCGGUAUUCCUACUUUCAUUUUGGACAACAUUUGAAGGCUUUUCCAAAUUGCGUCAUUAAAACCAGGAAUGAUAGCCGUCCAAUGAAAACGCUUCUUGCAUUUCAGAUAUAGGCGAGUGUGCGGUCAAGGUCAAAAUUGCGAGAGGGUGAUUCGAAGUGAAAUACCGCAACAAAAACGUUCGAUUUGUACAUUAACGCGUCUAACUGAAUGAGUCACAAUGUUUCUACCACAAGAGUUGUAAAUAUUGAAAAACUGAGAUAAAAACUGCAAAAAAUGGCCACCAACAAUAAUGGGCCAGGACUGAGGAGUUCCAAGAAAUGAGAGUGUGGCAACAAGUAAAUGGACCUUGACAAAUGUCCUCUAUGUUAGAGCCAGUCCCUUACACAAGUGACCUACUUUUGCACAGCUGAGGUUGUUAUCAAACGCAGCAGUAGGUAUGAAAUGCGGAAACUGUUCCAACUUGAUCUUCAACAGUUGAGUUACUCCUCAUCACAAUACCUGAACUGAAAACAAUCGGUGACGAUCCUGCACUUCACUUCUACCUCACAGUGCUCUUCCCUAUAAACGCUAGAGGAAAGUUUGAAAAUGAAAAACUUGUCAUUGCAAGAAAGGACCAAUUGAUUCUUAACAAAACAACCUGCCUCAAUGCUUUAGCUGACACUACAUCAAGUCAACACAAGGCAAUUUGUUUUUCUCCCAACCUGACCGGUAUGUUGAAUCUGAUCAAAAUUGUACACAACCACUGGUCAAGAAUAUAGAAAUACAAGUUGUAUGAUCAGUAACCUAAAAUAUUCUUGAAUAUUUGAACAUAAUUAAAGAGUAUAUGUUAAAGUUAUACAUAUUGUGUGUAGUGUAGGUAAGAUCAAUGCCAAGGUUAUUUUGGCUAAAAAAAGGAAAAUGAGUCUUGAUUCAUAACAUCGAUGAAAUAGAAAGCCUUUUCGAUAAAGUGAUACAUAUAUUUUGUGGUGAUGUCAUAACCUUGUUUCACUGUUUUUGAAGAGAAAACACAUGUUAUAAAUAUAUUAUCACAUUUGUGUUUUUUUAGCUCGACUAUUUUAAGAAUAAGGUGGGCUAUACUAUUCGCUCUGGUGUCAGUGUCCGGUUCAAGUUUUAGGGCAAGUUUUAGGGCAAGUUGGGAUUUUCACUUAUAAGUCCAAUACCCUUCAUUCAAUUGACUUAAUACCUCUUAUAAGUCCA